Molecule: ribosomal RNA, 427 nt
Filed under: uncultured bacterium
Lineage: Bacteria
Description: bacterial SSU rRNA
Rfam family: Bacterial small subunit ribosomal RNA
Source: RNAcentral
AGAGUUUGAUCCUGGCUCAGAGCGAACGCUGGCGGCGUGCUUAACACAUGCAAGUCGAACGCGCAGUUCCCUGUAGCAAUACAGGGGAUGGGCGCGUGGCGAACGGGUGCGUAACACGUGGAUAACCUUCCUUCAGGUGGGGAAUAACCUCGCGAAAGCGAGGCUAAUACCGCAUAACAUGACGAUGGCUCAUGCUGUUGUCUUCAAAGCCGCAAGGCGCCAGAAGAGGGAUCCGCGGCCGAUUAGCUUGUUGGCGAGGUAAUGGCUCACCAAGGCAAUGAUCGGUAGCCGGUCUGAGAGGACGAUCGGCCACACUGGAACUGAGACACGGUCCAGACUCCUACGGGAGGCAGCAGUGGGGAAUCUUGCGCAAUGGACGAAAGUCUGACGCAGCAACGCCGCGUGGGGGAUGAAGCUUCUCGGAGUG